UUGAAGAAAGUAAUUUGGUUAAAUUUUUGUGAUAUUUUUCAGGUCAAAACGGGGUUAACAAUGAAGAAAGUUUCUUGUACGGUGAUCUAUAUGUUUUUUGCAUUCGGUGUGAUUUUCUUAUGUUUUAGUGUGUUUCAGUGUGUACGUAUUUUUUAUUUAUUUUAAUGUAAAGGUUUUUGAAUUUGAAGUAUUUCUAAUGAUUUUUAUGAUCAUCUACAGAUUACAGACGCCAAAUCCUUGAAUCAGGUAUAAUCAUUUUUCUGAAUAAUAGCAAUAAUUUAUGUUCGCUGGCACUGCUGAUGAUAGAUCAUGCUUCUUAUGUGAUUUGAAUGGAAAAACUUGUUUUGUUUUUCAUUUAGCAUGAUACUCAUGUCGAUUACAUCUUGGUUGUUAGGGUAGUCUCAUGUGUAAAUCCACUCUUCUUUGCUCAAUUACAUGGUAUAAUUUUACAACAAUGAAAUAUUUUUUUUAAGAAAUUCAUAAAAACAUCCAUAUAACUUAUUAUUAUUAAAUCAUAUAGUCCAAGAUUAAAUUAAAGAGAGAAAAAAAAAAAAAAAAAAAAAAAAAAAAAACCCGUACAUUUAGGUUGAGCGCUGGUAACUUUGCAUAUUAAUUGCCUAAAAUGAAACCCAAAUUUUGGUUGAAUUCUGAGAGCUUAUUUUCCUGUUUUCUAAUUGGUGAUGUAUUGGUGCAGAUAUUGUUUGUAUUAAAAGAGAAACAAAAUAGAAAUGCCUUGUGUUUAUGGGCAAUAUCCCAAUUCUACCUUUGGGAAGUCCACUACCUAUCCAAGUUCACUCUUCACGGCUCAGUUUCUAGCAGUGCUUCAAAAUAGCGGAAUAAGUACUACUAAUAUCAAGUUCUCAACUCGUAUAAUAGUGUCUAGAGCAGCAUUGAAUUUGAAGGACUUUAAUGUGGAUGUCGAGCUAGGCAAUGACAAGUAAUAGUAGUGGUGCUGGCAUUUUGAAUGGGAAGGCUACCGAAAAGGUCAGAGACUACAGCUAAAGAAUGCUGGUUGUUAAGCGUUCGAGAGGAUAAGAGCGCAAAUAUGAACAUCUUCGUAUCUAUCUUGCUUUGGCAAAUCAUUCUCCAUUUCUGCUAUCAUUAAAAUUUUGUUUGAUUGCAAUUUUACAAUGCAAUAAGUGAAUGAGCAUUUUGCAGUUUGUUCUAAUUUUGUCCAACUAUAUAUUGAUUUUAAGUUUGUUUUAUUCUGUGCUACUGAAUAUUUAGUUGAUGGAUAAUGUUUGGUAGAUUAGUGAUCUAUUCCCAGAAUCUGCGUUAUUAGAUUGAAUAAAAUAUUUUUUUUUUCCAAUUAAUAGGAAAUUUGCAAUGUUGAGAAUUCAGGAGUCCAAUUAAGUCUACUUUAUGUAGUCAUAUAG
This 1376-nucleotide long non-coding RNA is filed under the name Olea europaea subsp. europaea. The record is from RNAcentral. Lineage: Eukaryota; Viridiplantae; Streptophyta; Magnoliopsida; Lamiales; Oleaceae.